GGGACAGGGGGGUCUUCGCCGCACCGGCGGAGCCUGUCCUCCUGGUUGCGCGAACGCGUGACCCAGUGGUUGUCGCUCGGGGGUGAACGCCG
Streptomyces roseus is the source of this 92-nucleotide small RNA. It matches the Rfam family "che1 RNA". The record is from Rfam. NCBI's taxonomy places the organism in Bacteria, Bacillati, Actinomycetota, Actinomycetes, Kitasatosporales, Streptomycetaceae.